AUUGAACGCUGGCGGCAUGCUUUACACAUGCAAGUCGAACGGUAACAGGCCUUCGGGUGCUGACGAGUGGCGAGCGGGUGAGUAAUGCAUCGGAACGUACCCAGAGGUGGGGGAUAACGCAGCGAAAGCUGUGCUAAUACCGCAUGUGAUCUGAGGAUGAAAGCGGGGGACCGAGCAGCAAUGUUUGGCCUCGCGCCUUUGGAGCGGCCGAUGUCGGAUUAGCUAGUUGGUGGGGUAAAGGCCUACCAAGGCGACGAUCCGUAGCUGGUCUGAGAGGACGACCAGCCACACUGGGACUGAGACACGGCCCAGACUCCUACGGGAGGCAGCAGUGGGGAAUUUUGGACAAUGGGCGCAAGCCUGAUCCAGCAAUGCCGCGUGCGGGAAGAAGGCCUUCGGGUUGUAAACCGCUUUUGGCAGGAACGAAACGGUGUCCGCUAAUACCGGGCGCUAAUGACGGUACCUGCAGAAUAAGCACCGGCUAACUACGU
RNAcentral lists this ribosomal RNA (491 nucleotides) under uncultured bacterium. Its description in RNAcentral is "partial 16S ribosomal RNA". It matches the Rfam family "Bacterial small subunit ribosomal RNA", at positions 29 to 506 of the family's 1533-position model. The record is from RNAcentral.